This 45-nucleotide non-coding RNA is filed under the name Echinostoma caproni. Lineage: Eukaryota; Metazoa; Platyhelminthes; Trematoda; Plagiorchiida; Echinostomatidae. The record is from RNAcentral.
GCACUACUGAAGAGACCCAACCAGGUUGAAACAACUGUCCAGUGU